CUUAAGUCUGAGUGCGGCUGAAAUGUUGUUGGGAGCAGUAAACCGGAGACAGCUGGGACUUUCGCGCUGUUGAAUCAGACGACUUUUAAACGAAUCACAUCACCCAGAGACAGAACAUGAAGGAAGAAGCAGCUGCUAUUUAUUAUAUUGCCAAGAUGGAUGUCAAAGAGGAGACGUGUGAAGUUGACAUAAAUAUCACAGGCCUAACGACUGUGAGUGUUAAGGAAGAGGACUGUGAAGGGGAGCCCGUCCACCCUAACAAGGAGAGUCUCUGCAUUAAGGACGAGGAUAGUGAACUGGGGUCAGUGGGCAUUAAAGAAGAGGCAGAGGAGACGUCUGUCAGCUUUAAGGCGCACAAACAUGAAAGCAUGAAGCCUGUCGAUGUCAAGUGGAAGUCUGAAUCAUUAGAGUCUGACACAAAGAGGGCUGAGGAAAUUUCAUCUUCUAUGACUGAGGAAGACCAAGCAUCACCCACACAUCAGUCUGAAGAAAAUUUACAAGAUAUUGACAGCGUCUCCUCCUCUUCAUUUUCUUGGACAUCUCUGCAGUGUAAAACAGAAGAAACACAGCACAAUGAAAGCGUGAAGAAAAUUAUCUCCAAAUCAAAGAUUUUGACCCCGUCCACUCUCCAGUGCAGUUCUCUACCUGUUUUGAAACUAAUACGGACAGAUAAAGCAAGCACUCAACAACAGAAACACAAUUCAAACUCUUCUACUUUGUCAGCUUUUCAAAAGCAGAAAUGCAAACAGAGAUGUAAAAACAAUGAUAAGCAGGACAGUCAUGUAAGAAAGAAGACAUAUUGCUGUUCUGUGUGUGGCAAAGAAUUCUUGUAUAGUAGCCAGCUUAAGACGCACACAAGAUUUCACACUGGAGAGAAGCCAUAUUGCUGUUCUGAAUGCGGAAAGAAAUUUGCCACUAGAGAAACUCUUAUGUACCACACAAGAAUUCACACUGGAGAGAAGCCAUAUUGUUGUUCUGAAUGUGGGAAAGAAUUCUUACAAAUUAGCCACCUCCACACACACACACGGAUUCACACUGGAGAGAAGCCAUAUUCCUGUUCUGAAUGUGGAAAGAAAUUUAGCACUAAUGAUUCGCUUAAGUACCACAAAAGAAUUCACACUGGAGAGAAACCAUAUCGCUGUUUAGAAUGUGGAAAAGAAUUCACCGCCAGUGGUUCCCUUAAGAAACAUACAAGACUUCACACUGGAGAAAAACCAUUCUGCUGUUCUGAAUGUGGUAAACAAUUUGUUAACCGAAGUAAUUUUCAGCUACAUAAAAGAAUUCACACUGGUCAGAAAGCAUAUCGCUGUUCAGAAUGUGGAAAAGAGUUUGCCACCAGUGCUGCUCUUAAGUACCACACCAGUAUUCACACUGGAGAGAAGCCAUAUUGCUGUUCUGAAUGUGGAAAAGAGUUCACCGCCAGUGGUUCUCUUAAGCAGCAUAUAAGAAUUCACACUGGAGAAAAACCAUUCUGCUGUUCUGAAUGUGGUAAACACUUUGUUAGCCGUAGCAAUUUUCAGUUACACAAAAGAAUUCACACUGGAGAGAAGCCAUAUUGCUGUUCCAAAUGUGGAAAAGAAUUUGCCACCAGUGGUUCUCUUAAGUACCACACACGAAUUCACACUGGGGAGAAGCCGUAUUGCUGUUCUGAAUGUGGAAAACAAUUCACCAGCAGUGGUACUCUUAAGCGGCACACAAGAACUCACACUGGAGAGAAGCCGUAUUGCUGUCCUGAAUGUGGCAAACAGUUUGCUGCCAGUGGCACUCUUAAGCGGCAUACAAGAAUUCACACUGGACACAAGCCAUAUUGCUGUUCAGAAUGUGGAAAACAAUUUUUACAAAUUUCCCACCUUCAGACACACUCAAAAAUACACACUGGAGAGAAGCCGUAUUCCUGUUCUGAAUGCGGAAAAGAAUUCUCACGAAUUGACCAUCUUCGUAAACACACACAAAUACACACUGGAGAGAAGUCCUGAUCCAUGAUUAAAGUCCUGAUUAAAAGAAACUUUCAGGCCCAUGCUGACAGCCUACAAAUUACAAAUUACGGUUGAGUAUAUGUAUACCAAAAUGAAUACCGUCAAGCAACUGGCAAUCCUCGUCUGAUCCAACUGCUUGAGAAUAAUCAAUUAGUUCAAUUACUUUCAUAGACAGUGUGUGUGUGAAUUAGCGUACAAAGCUGUUGAGCCUUGAAUGCACAUCUGACUCCAAAGGUGGCACGGGUUUGAUUGAAACUGGUCCUGAUCAACAAUCGUUGAAUUGCAGACUAUCCUCCUAAAUUCACAUGAGUACUCCAGUGUUUCUAAUCACUACUCCCUGCUAAAGUUUGGACAAAUUUCACAUGAAUAGUAAAACAUUUUAUUCUUAUAGUAUUUUUAGUUUAAUAAAUAGACAACAACAUUUUUAAAAACAAUUGACUGAUUUUGUCCUUCAGCUUCAUGUAGACAAUUUGCUUUCAUAUUGAUAGAUGAGAAGAGGUGUAUUGGAAAUAAUGGGUGAACUUAUGAUCAGUGGGCUGCAGACAAAUGGUUAAACAAUCAUGUGCAGAAUCUACGAACCACUCAUGCAUCAGGGUACAAGAUAUCUGAGGGUUUAUGCACUGAAAGGCACUACAAAGUCUCCAAACUCCUUUGGAAACCUUCCAGAGAUUACAACCUACUUGCCGCUAGAGAGACAUUAGAACCACCUGUCAUAAGGAGUAAUGACACAAAGUUAAAAUGAGCUGGAUGAGGCAGUCGAUGACCUCAUCAUUUAGAACUCGCCACCAUUUUCCAUUGUGGACGAUGAGGGUUCCAAAUAUUUUCUUUCAGAGACUUGAAAUCAAUUACAAUGUACAGUCCAUCCAGAUGUGCCAUAAGAAGACCGCAAGUUCCAAAUAUGAGGAAAGGAAGUAGAAGGCAAACACAGAAGUGAUGAAAGCAACAGCCAUUAGUGUGACAUCAGCUCUGAGGACCUCAGGCGACAUGAAGGCCAACCUAGCAGUGACGUGUCGUUUAACCGAUGACCAGAAGCAGCUCUCUGCUGGGGUAUCAAAUUCCCCGAGUCACACACAGCUGGCCAUGUUAAGGAGGUGAAGAAUAAUCUUCUAGCCACACAGGGAGUAAGUGACAAGGUAA
RNA transcript from Polypterus senegalus (gray bichir), 3113 nucleotides. It is a transcript of the gene named gastrula zinc finger protein XlCGF57.1-like, with no coding region annotated. The record is from RefSeq and is a predicted model, not a curated record. The transcript is spliced from 4 exons. Lineage: Eukaryota; Metazoa; Chordata; Cladistia; Polypteriformes; Polypteridae.